This is a long non-coding RNA of Danio aesculapii, 261 nucleotides long. RefSeq lists it as uncharacterized. Lineage: Eukaryota; Metazoa; Chordata; Actinopteri; Cypriniformes; Danionidae. The record is from RefSeq and is a predicted model, not a curated record. The transcript has 3 exons.
CGUCACAAGGCGGCGCCGCUCUCCCGUGUUUUGGAUUCAACAGCAGAGAAAAGCUCCUGCUGAAGCGACUGAUCUCCACACUGUUAACAAGAUGGCGUUUAUUAAAGAGGAGAGUGAAGAUGUGAAGAUUGAAGAAACAUUCACGGUCAAACGUGAAGAUCCAGAGGAACAAACAGGGCUGAAAGAAGAGUGUCAAGAACUGGAUGAAAUAGAAGAGAAAGAUCAAUGUGAGAAACACCAUGAUUUAAAGAUGGAAGCAAA